AAUUGCCUCUUGGUCAGGGUGCUCCUUGCCAAUUUUGUCUGAGCUUAGAAUCUAAGCAGUCCUUGAUCUUAUUAGUACUUUGAUGGGAGACCACUUGGGAAUGUCAGGUGCUGUAAAUU
Molecule: ribosomal RNA, 119 nt
Filed under: Salvator merianae (Argentine black and white tegu)
Lineage: Eukaryota; Metazoa; Chordata; Lepidosauria; Squamata; Teiidae
Source: RNAcentral